GGUCCAAGGCAUGCCACCCUGAAUGCGUGCCAUCUCAUCUGAUCUCAGAUGCUAAACUGGGUUGGGCCUGGUCAGUACUUGGAUUU
RNAcentral lists this ribosomal RNA (86 nucleotides) under Otolemur garnettii (small-eared galago). Lineage: Eukaryota; Metazoa; Chordata; Mammalia; Primates; Galagidae. The record is from RNAcentral.